This 43-nucleotide non-coding RNA is filed under the name Schistosoma haematobium. Lineage: Eukaryota; Metazoa; Platyhelminthes; Trematoda; Strigeidida; Schistosomatidae. The record is from RNAcentral.
AUCCAACUGAUGAGUCCCAAAUAGGACGAAAUGUGCCCUGAAU